This 292-nucleotide ribosomal RNA is filed under the name uncultured prokaryote. Its description in RNAcentral is "partial 16S ribosomal RNA". It matches the Rfam family "Bacterial small subunit ribosomal RNA", at positions 505 to 796 of the family's 1533-position model. The record is from RNAcentral.
GUGCCAGCCGCCGCGGUAAUACGUAGGUGGCAAGCGUUAUCCGGAAUUAUUGGGCGUAAAGCGCGCGCAGGUGGUUUCUUAAGUCUGAUGUGAAAGCCCACGGCUCAACCGUGGAGGGUCAUUGGAAACUGGGAGACUUGAGUGCAGAAGAGGAAAGUGGAAUUCCAUGUGUAGCGGUGAAAUGCGUAGAGAUAUGGAGGAACACCAGUGGCGAAGGCGACUUUCUGGUCUGUAACUGACGCUGAGGAGCGAAAGCGUGGGGAGCGAACAGGAUUAGAUACCCCGGUAGUCC